Long non-coding RNA from Thalassophryne amazonica, 393 nucleotides. RefSeq lists it as uncharacterized. The transcript is spliced from 2 exons. NCBI's taxonomy places the organism in Eukaryota, Metazoa, Chordata, Actinopteri, Batrachoidiformes, Batrachoididae. The record is from RefSeq and is a predicted model, not a curated record.
CGCUCUUCAUCCCUGUUGUGUUUAGUGUCAUGUGUUUCUUGAUGGUCUUCAUGUCGCUGUACUCUGACCCAGUUAACACAGGAAUUGGAUUUGCUGUUUCCUUCACUGGCAUCCCUGCUUACUACAUCUUCAUCGCUUUCGACCGCAGACCAAAGUGGCUUCAGAAGGCUUUUCAUUUGUCAAACAGAACUCUGCAGAUCAUCCUGGAGGUCAUCCCCGCUGAGAUGUGACAUCAUCACCCAGUGACGCUGGGAGAGGCUCCACCCCCUCCUAAACCUUAACUGCAGUCAGCAGCAUCAGAAAAUGACUGUCUGACUGAUGGGCAUGUUUUUAAAUUCACGUUCAGACAGUGGGAUUUUGUGCAUGUGUGGGAAGUAAAAUGUUUCAUUUCAA